RNAcentral lists this ribosomal RNA (466 nucleotides) under uncultured bacterium. RNAcentral describes it as "partial 16S ribosomal RNA". It matches the Rfam family "Bacterial small subunit ribosomal RNA", at positions 28 to 507 of the family's 1533-position model. The record is from RNAcentral.
GAUGAACGCUGGCGGCGUGCUUAACACAUGCAAGUCGAACGGAAAGGCUCCUGCUUGCAGGGGUACUCGAGUGGCGAACGGGUGAGUAACACGUGGGUGAUCUGCCCUGCACUUCGGGAUAAGCCUGGGAAACUGGGUCUAAUACCGGAUAGGACGAUGGUUUGGAUGCCAUUGUGGAAAGUUUUUUCGGUGUGGGAUGAGCUCGCGGCCUAUCAGCUUGUUGGUGGGGUAAUGGCCUACCAAGGCGUCGACGGGUAGCCGGCCUGAGAGGGUGUACGGCCACCUUGGGACUGCGAUACGGCCCAGACUCCUACGGGAGGCAGCAGUGGGGAAUAUUGCACAAUGGGCGCAAGCCUGAUGCAGCGACGCCGCGUGGGGGAUGACGGCCUUCGGGUUGUAAACUCCUUUCGCUAGGGACGAAGCGCAAGUGACGGUACCUGGAGAAGAAGCACCGGCUAACUACGUG